UCCCUGGUGGCUCAGAAGAUAAAGAAUCUGCCUGUAAUUCAGGAGACCCAGGUUCAGUCCCUGGUUUGGGAA
This 72-nucleotide transfer RNA is filed under the name Bos taurus (domestic cattle). It matches the Rfam family "tRNA". Rfam says of the family: Transfer RNA (tRNA) molecules are approximately 80 nucleotides in length. Their secondary structure includes four short double-helical elements and three loops (D, anti-codon, and T loops). Further hydrogen bonds mediate the characteristic L-shaped molecular structure. tRNAs have two regions of fundamental functional importance: the anti-codon, which is responsible for specific mRNA codon recognition, and the 3' end, to which the tRNAs corresponding amino acid is attached (by aminoacyl-tRNA synthetases). tRNAs cope with the degeneracy of the genetic code in two manners: having more than one tRNA (with a specific anti-codon) for a particular amino acid; and 'wobble' base-pairing, i.e. permitting non-standard base-pairing at the 3rd anti-codon position. Lineage: Eukaryota; Metazoa; Chordata; Mammalia; Artiodactyla; Bovidae. The record is from Rfam by way of RNAcentral. RNAcentral also lists the same sequence under 4 other names.